CCUUCGAUAGCUCAGUUUGUAGAGCGGGGGACUGUAGAUUUAUAAUUGUGAUCCCUAGGUCGCUGGUUCGAAUCCGGCUCGAAGGA
Nematostella vectensis (starlet sea anemone) is the source of this 86-nucleotide non-coding RNA. The record is from Rfam. NCBI's taxonomy places the organism in Eukaryota, Metazoa, Cnidaria, Anthozoa, Actiniaria, Edwardsiidae.